Molecule: ribosomal RNA, 684 nt
Filed under: uncultured bacterium
Lineage: Bacteria
Description: bacterial SSU rRNA
Rfam family: Bacterial small subunit ribosomal RNA
Source: RNAcentral
CGAAACUUGUAAGCUUGAGUACGGUAGGGGCAGAGGGAAUUCCCGGAGGAGAGGUGAAAUUCGUAGAUAUCGGGAGGAAGGCCAAAGGCGAAAGCACUCUGCUGGGCCGAUCACUGACACUGACAGACGAAAGCUAGGGGAGCGAAAGGGAUUAGAUACCCCUGUAGUCCUAGCCGUAAACGAUGGAUACUAAGUGUUGCGCGACUCAAAGCGUGCAGUGCUGCAGCUAACGCGGUAAGUAUCCCGCCUGGGGAGUAUGCCCGCAAGGGUGAAACUCAAAGGAAUUGACGGGGGGCCAAGCAAGCGGUGGAGCAUGUGGUUUAAUUUGAUGCAACGCGAAGAACCUUACCAGGGUUUGCAUGUCAUCGGAAUUUGUGAAAAUAGAUUCUUUUUUCUUCGGAAGCGAUGAACACCAGGUGGUGCAUGGCUUGUCGUCAGCUCGUGCCGUGAGGUGUAUGAUUAAGUUCAGUAACGAGCGCAACCCUUGUCUUUAGUUACCUUUUUACUAGAGAGACCGCCAGUGAUAAGCUGGAGGAAGGUGAGGAUGACGUCAAGUCAGCAUGCCCCUUACACCCUGGGCUACACACGUGCUACAAUGGCCAGGACAAUGAGAUGCUACCUCGCGAGAGCACCGCCAACCUCAAAAACCUGGUCUUAGUUCGGAUUGCAGGCUGCAACUCGCCU